GGGAGGGGACGGUGGCGGGGGCCGGUCCUGCGGCACCUCCCGGGGCCGCCCGGGCAGGGAGGGCCCGCCCCUGCUCCCCCCGCAGCUGAGGGCCGGGAGGCGGCGGCCCCGCAGCGCUCGCCCCGGUGGCGGGAGGGGCCGCACCGCCGCUCGGCGCGGUGCCCGGGGCAGGGAGGUGAUGAUUAACCUGCGGGCCAUCGAAUACCUGCCUAAAGUCGCGCCCAGGGUGGGGUUUAACCUUGUGCGAGGCUCGGUGCCUCCCGUGUGAUUCUGCCCGAGAGCCUGCAGCGACCAGUUCUGCUGCUGCCGCCGAAGCGCUGCGGGGAUGCGCAGCUCCCUGUUGAAAAUCUCUGCUCUAAAUCUCAACCUAGAGCUCGCCUCGCAGUCGUUUUUGGCGGUUUCAGGCUCAAGAGGUCGAGAUGAUGGUGGGGUCUCGGCGAGCGUCUCUGCACCAGCAGCCUCGGGCUGCAGUUGCUCGAGUAUUUGUGGCCGGCGCUUGAAUCCAUGCUGGCCCCUUUUCCUCGAGCUGAGCUGCAAGGAGCCCGGCAGCUGCGGCAUUUAGUUCAGUUACUUCAGAUGAUCUGUAAAUUUUCAAUAAUGGCAAUACAUUCAUUCUGCCAUUUGGAGGAGCCUGUGCCACAGAAUAAUGAUCUGAAGAAAGCUCACUUAUUUGCAAGGAAGAGUCUUCAUUUGGGAAUUAGUAUUGAUGCAGCUCAAGGGUGCUUUUUCAAGUCCAGACUCUUUCAGCAGAACUGUUACUUUCCUAACACAACCUCUGGUACAAGGAUAAAUUGGGUUUUUGUCAAAGAACAGAGUCCUGUAUCUGAAGAGUAAGAAUGUAAGGUCCUUGACAUUCAGUGGGAUGAGAAUCUCAGAACUGACUACUGGGGACUCCCAGGCUACAGAUCAGGAGGAGAGUCUGUUGCUUUGUCUGCAAUACAGGUAUGGGAGUUUGAGGGUCUUCCAAGAGAGGAUAUUUCAUUCCUGACAUGCUCACUAAGAAGAGGUGAUGAAGCCUAUAUAGUGCUUUGAAGAUUAACUUCAUUAUCAUGCUGCAAAAUGGUAAAUGUGUAUGUUUUGGAAUAACAUCAAAAAGUGCAGUGAAGUUGAUUUUUAAGGAGUAGAUUUAAGUAUUGCAUCCUUCAAGCUGAUUUCUGUAAGUUAAAAGUAUUUUAGAUUAUUUUUUACAGAAUUUCAGGUUAUUGAGAAAUUAUAAUUUCUGUAUAUAAUAGACUACAUUUGAUGGCAGGUCCUAAAGCAACCUGUUAACUAUUUGCAAUGAGAUAAUUUUUCUAAAUAGAAAUAUCAUGUUUGUUUAAGAAGAUAUUCUAUAUUAGUAUGCCCUUUCCAUUAAGUUAGGAUAGCAUGCUACACAAGAAUUGUAGUGUUGAGUUUUAUUUUCAAUUUUCUUCUUCUGAGAUUCAUCAACUAGCAAACAAAAACCUCCGACUUUUAAGCACCUCACUUUUCAACACAGACUGAUCCCUGAGUUGAGAACAUUUAUGCUAUUAAAAAAACCAUUUUGGUAGGUGUGAGUUGCUUGUCAGAAAUCCGUUCCGAAGCUUGAGUGCAAAGGAAGCAGGGAACUAAUGAUGAAUAAGAAUGGAUGUCUUGAGGAUAACAAUGGAUAUGGCAUCUUCAAAAGCUGUGGCAUUCUGGUCCUAAUCUUCUGCAACUGGAUUUGUUCAAAUGGAUCUUGAUAGCCUGGGGGCCUGACAAAGUUCAUGGGACUCUGGUGACUGCAAGUUCUCACUCUGAAGAUCUGAUUGUAGGCCUGAACCAAAAUUUCUGUUUUGUUCUCCUGUCUAUUUGCUUCUUAAAUGAUGAAAGUUAUCCUUUAAAAUGGUGUUGUCUUUGAGUCUUAUGCACAUCCACUUCAGAAGUGUUCAGACACUGUGUGCUUGGGAUGUUUUCAGACAUUGUUAAAAUAUUUCAGUUCUGUUGUGUGCCUAAACCUCAUGAUUGCUCUGAUUAUUGUGUUCGUUUUUUACAUGUAGUGGUUCUCUACCUAUAAUGGAGGAGAUCAUCACCUGGGUUUUCAAUCAUUGUGGUAUUUCUCUUAACUCAGAUUUUUAAGUCACAGUAACUGUUGAAACUGUUCAGGUUAUUUUUAAGGAUUUUUGCUGGACAGAAAGUAUAAUUUAUUUUGCAAACUUGGCAGCCUAGUAUUACUGAAAGCUUUCAGUAUGAUGAUACUCUGAUGUAAUAAAAUAAGUAGGAAAAGACAUUACCUUUUACUAGCUCUACUGUUACUUUUCUAUUCCUGUGGCUGUGGUUACACAACACACAACUGAGAGUGAAGAUUAUUUUUAUUUAUAUGAGCCACUGAAUGCCUUGCUGUUCCCUGUCCUAUUCCAUGUUGCAGCUUCGCUGAAUACUAAAGUUAUAGCCCUGAUAGAAGCUGUAUAAAGGACUUUUGAAAAAUCACAAAUAGAAUGUGAGAGGAAAAAUAGAUGUAUUCUAUGUUAGUAUUUAUAUUGUAAUACUUUUAAAGCAAGUAUAUAGCAGUAUAUAAUAUUUAAGAGAUUAAAAGAUCCAAAACUUUCUUUGUAUAUAGAGAAUCAAUUUUUUUUUGUUUUUGUAGGCUUAUUAUAAUGAUAUUAAGGAGCUUCAUAGUAUAUUUGAUGAAUUUUUGCAUAUUCCCAGAACAGAAGAGCACCAUUGUCCUGUUAGACCAAGGAGAAAACUGAGCCACGUGUUUAGUCAGUAGUAAAGUCAAUGAUAUUAAAUGGAUUCUCCUGCCUUUUAACCUUGUGCCACUGGCUCCAUUUUUCCCUCAAGACCCAAACCUUCCAUUAUCAUCAUCUGCUUUGCAUUUCUACGUGAAAGGCCCAAGGUGUUUCUGUUUGGACUCUCAGAAAACAAGGAAGAAGAGGUUGAUUGGCCAUCUGCCAAGGUGUGAGGUCUGACUUGCUCCUUGCUCACGGGGGCUGCUGGUGUAGCAGAGGCAGAAGUGAGUGUUCUGUGUGGCAUUCAACUGCCUUAACCACAUGCCCAUCGCUCUCUUCCUGUAGUUGUGUCUUGUUCUCAGCAUAACUCCUAAAGACAACACGUAUACCAACCAAUAAAUAAUCUAAUUUGAUGCACAGCCCCGAUUCACUUCCUGAGCUGUGUCCUGCACACACGGAGCAGUCCUGUGGAAAAACGCAGCACAGUGCACGAGGCCAAAGAGUAAGGCUGUUUAGUGUUUAAACUUUGCAAUGAAGCAGUGUUCUUUUAAUGUCACUUAUUAUAGCUAUAGCUCAAUUUGUUUUUAACAAAGAACAAGAGAAAAAUGAAAGCUUUCAGAACUGAUGGUAACUGAUUCCCUGUCUAGCUUGUGAAUGUGACUAUCCAGCCCAGUGAAAUGCAACAUCAGCUGAUGGAAGGAGGCUGGCCACCUCCAGGGAGGAAGGGAAGCAAAAAGGAUGGGUGCUUAACACCAUGGGUGUAUCCAAUUUGCUUCCAAGUCUUAGGGACUAUUUGUAGUGUUGACCCCAGCUCUUUAGCUUUUGUUUUCUCUUCAGCAUUCCCACCCCCAAAAGUUAGCUCCUCCAGAGCUUCCCAGCGCAGUAGAUGUUGGGGGUGUUGCUGUAGUCUGCUAAUAAUUUAAAUGAGGAAACAGAAAUCAAAAGUGGGCUUUUCUCCUAUGUUUUCCUAUUGAAAAAUAAGAGGAGAUGCUCCCAGUUCUCUCCACAAUGAAUUUCAGGGGCUUUUCUUCUGAUCCUUGAUCUCACAAAUAGAUGGCAAAAACUUUAAUAAUAGAAAAUGCUGCUCUUGGCUUAGCCCUUUAAUCUUCUUCCCAGUCAAAUUGUAGUGACCUGCUGUGUUUGUAAGCUACCAAGGAUGGUGUGUAGGCUCCAGUGCCAGGGCAAUUGUGUUGGGAACACAAGCUCAUCUUGUUAUCUUUUAUGUUAGAAUUUGGUAGUGUAUUAAGUUUUUUUUCAGGGAAACCUUGCCAGACCAUGGUCUGAGUUUCCGUUUCUGUUAAUGUCUGCUUUGUCUAUGCAUGGUGCUUGAGAUCUGGUCACCAAGCCUAGUGAUUUGCUAUGAGGAAAACAAAACAAUCUCCUACUUUGCUUUUGCAUGUUUUUCUCUGGGAUAUGCAGUCUUGUCUCACAAGUAAUGCAGCAAGUUCCUGUAAAAAGAACAGGUAGGAAUACUGUUAAGGAAAAUUUGGUCAACCCAUUCACUGAAAUUUAUAAAAAUCAAAAUAUUUGCAAAAGUAUUCACUGGCAUUUUGUUGCAAAAUAAAAAUGAAAUCCCUGAUUUUAGUACUGAUUUAUUUUUUUUUAAAUAAGGAUCAGUCUUAACAUUUCAUAGCUGUGGAGAAAUGGUGGGAAUGGGACAAAACAGUCUUGAUACGAAGAAUCACCUUAAGUCUUAAUAACACUUUGUAUCAGGAAACCAUGGCCUGAAAUUGCUGCCUGUCAUAUCAGAUAAUAUUAUCACUGAUUUAUUAUGUUACUUCAUCUUACUUGCUUUUUGUAAUCUUCUGACAGGGAUCACAGUUUUUUCUGUGCUUUGGGUGUCUUCUUUUGGUUUGGGGCUGUGGUUUUUUACCAGCACCUAACAGAUCAGAGUCCUGACUCAUGAUUUGGCUUCCAGGUACUAAGAUAAUACAAGUAGUAAUCAUGCCUGCUGCUAAAAAUUUUCUACCUUAUUUCAUUUGCAUUUGUUUGCCUUCAGCUUCCAGUCAUUGAUUCUUGUUAUGCCUUCUCCGAUGGAUUAAAGAGCUCUUUAGGACUUGCUAUUUUCUCCACAGGAAGGUGCUUUUAACCUGUAAUCAAGUUACUUUUCAGUAUUAUUUUUUUUUGUUUGUUUGAUUUAAGAAAAAGCUAAACAGACUGAGCUUUUUAGGGUUCUCAUUAUUUAGGGUUCUAAAUUUUUCAUAUUCCUGGAUGAUUUUUGUGGCUCUUUUCUGUCCAUAAAACUGUGUGUUACUAGUCACAUACACAAAAAAAAUUACUUCUCUAGUUCCUCUUGUGUUAGUAUGGUUAGAAAUUGAUGUUAUUGCAAGGUCAGAUUAAAAAAACCCUAAUAUGACUUCUACACAUCUGAGUGUUGUAGGUAUUAGAGGACAGAAAAGGAUGGAUGAUUUAAAAAAAAAAUUAAUAUUUUUAAGUGAUCCACAAAUCAGCAAGAGUGGGUGUGCAGGAGGGAGGCCAAAAGUAUUUUGUAUAGGUUCUUAAGGAGCUAGAAGUGAAAAUAAACAUAAUAAUUUUAAUUGUAAAACAAAAUAAAACAUCAAAAAUUAAGUGUUGUAUUUAAUAUAGUAACAUAUACUUGCAGAAAUUUUGUAGGAUUGAAUGAAAAAUGUUUUUUAUUAACAAACACUGUUGUGGGUCACUGGAAAUAGAGGCCGUAAAUGGAAGUGAAUGUACAUAUCCCUUACAUCUGUUUAAUCCCAUAAGUAGUCACUUGCUUAUAUCUGGAAACCCAAGAAAUUAUGUGAUCUGUUAUACUGAAAUAGAAGAAAUAACACAGUAUUAAGAAUUCCUUUUGUUUUACAAGUUGUCAGCAUUAAGUCAUAUAAAAGAUCAAGCAAUCAAAAUCCAGAGCUUCAAAGAGGCUCUUGAAAAUUUUACUGCUUCAGUAUUUCUUUCCAAAGGGAUGGCUAUUUAUUUUGAUUUGCAUCCAUACUUUAGGACAAGGUUAAAUUAAGUUUAUAGGAAGGAGACUAAUCAGAUGCCUGUCUGGUCAAAACACCUCUGUCUAAUGUUGUGUCUGACAAAACUUUGAUGUCACAACCCUGACUUCCUGUCCAAACUGACUUUUGAUUUUAAAAAGAACGUGGCUUUCCAUUUGACAGCAUUCCCUCUGUGAAAUUCAGGGCAUAUUCCACAAGGAUCUUCAUUUGUUUCAGCAAGAUGAAAGUUCAUGGUAAUAUCGUAAAUGGGGGAAAAAUGGAUUUAAAGUAAUGCAAAAGACUUAGAAUCUUCUAAAAUUCAUGAAAAAGAAGUAAAGGUGAACGAGAACUGAAUAGAAAGCCAAAUGGCCUCUAGUUAAGAAAGUACUAAGCUAAAUAGAUUUAGACUACAUGUUUGUGUGUGUUAACUAAAAAGUUAUUACUAAGAUUUUGGUAAUGCAAUUUCUUGGGGUAGAAAUUGUCCCCCUGCAAUGAUGAGCUCACAGAGCCCUUUUCAAAACAACCAUCUGCUGUUGGAAAAGGCAAGAGAAGUGGGCAUUCCCUUGGAUGCUUUUUGGUAUCACAGGCUUAGUGUAAAGUAUGUUGUAUCUUACAUCCUAGGUUGCCUCAGUUUCUUCACCUGAGUCUCAGAAAUCUUGGAAUAGAAUCCUUAAAUAAAAGGAGAUAAUGUAAUUGAAAAGGAGAUAGUAGAAGAAAAGGACGAUUAUGACAGAAGCUGGAGACAAUUCCAAGAGAAUGUUAGCAUGACUUCUUUUCUCUGAACAGCCAACUGAGAGGUGAUCCUCCUUUCUGAACCAGUAAUAAAUUGCUAUGGCUGCAUGUAAUGGUAGGUGUUUGACCAAUGAAGCACUCAGUGCAGUGCAGGACAUACUGGAAAACCAUUUUGAAAGCAGGGGGACGGGGGGUGUGGCUAGAAAAUUAUUAAAUAAUGCUACUGAUGAUUAUUUGGUGAGCAGGUGCAGCUGCCAGAAUGCAUUUAUCUUUGCACUAGUGGAGCAAGUGGAGGAGUGUGGACAAAAGAAGAGAAGAAAAAGGGGGCAGAAAGGAGAGAGAUGGAGAAAGGAUAAGAGUUCUUUGAGGCUGCUUCUGCUCUUCCAGGAUGUGUUCUUUGCCAUCUGUAGUGAGUGGUAUAUGCUGGUAACUUGUACUUUUAAUCUUCCUUUAGCACCAUAUCUCCAUGGGAAGGUAGCAGGUUUAUGAAGUUAUGAGUAUGUGGACAGCUCCUUGAAUGAAUGAGAAACUCCAUUGCAUUGUAAGGGAUGAGACAGACACUACUCAAUGACACCCAUGUACACUUGGCUGUAUUUAGCAAAAGGGUAAGGCUGUCCUGUCAAACUAUGCAAGUUCCCCUUUUGAAGCUGUGAGCAAAUGGUUGUUUCCUCCAGCAGUUCCUGUAACUGCUUGUAUGCAGUCUACAUUCACAGUAUGUCCUGGGUAGUUACUAGAUAGAGUGAUGUGUGCUGCAUCCUGAUUCUUUGGAUAUCAGCAUCCCAUAAAUUCACAAUAAUUUUUUGGUUUGUGGAAAUAAGAGUGUACUAGGAUUUCUAAUAUCGGGGACUGUGUUGGCGUCAAGGUGUCAUCUUCAUAUGCUGAAGCAGAUGGUUUAGUCUGUGUUGCAGUCCCGCAUAAAGGACCAGAGUACAGGUCAGGUGAUGUUUAUAUAUAGUGUAUUUUCAGAAAACAUGUAGAUAAGGAAGUAGUAGCUCUGUCCCAGGACUGUACCUAGCUCUAGGAAUCUUUCCAGUUUGACAUGGAGCAUCGAGGUCUGUCUGAAGGAGUCCUGGUUGUGAGAGAGCAUGUCCUGUUGAAUCUUCUGGGCUGGAUGAAAUAGGAAGGAAGGGCAUCUCAGGUAUUUUUUCUUUCAUCACCUUAGGCCUGGUUGUAUUCUGCUUGUUCAGGUGUAGAAGUCUAACAGUGGUGUCAGCAUCAGAAGCUUCCCUGCCUCUAGACUGGAGUGAGGGAGACAGAGUACUAACACCUUUAGAGCAGUGUCUGUGAAGAUGGACAGCAGCAUUUUGGGUUUAUUAGAAGCAGCUGAUAACUCUUACCUCAGUGGUAGGCUUGAGUGUACAAUACAUAAAUGAUCUGGAGAUUUUGGAGGGGACUGAAUGUUUGAUACCAUGUUUCCAGAAAGUUGAAGAGAUAAGUGGAUGUUGCACUGCAUGUUGUGUUCUCAGCAAAGCAAGUAUCUCAGCAGGUCAGCGAUUUCAGAAAUAGUGCUGUCCUGAAAGAACAUUUUUUGAACUCCUUUUUGCUGUUGAAGCUGAACACAGUUCCAUCUGUCUGAAACUGCACAUUGAGAGCUUCACAGAGGCACUUAAAGAAGUUACGUACUUAUGCAUAAGGAAUAAGAUGCUGAAGGAAUCAUAUUUCAUAAGAGUGAAUCUAUUAAUCUUACCAUAAAAUGGUUACAUUUUGUACACAUAUUCACUUUAAAAAAUGUUCAUGGUAUACUGAUCAUCAAGAGGAAAAGUCCAUACUGAUGUAUCUUCACCAUCUUUCUGAGCUGAACAUUGUGGGUAUAUGUUUUUGCUAUGAGAAUCUACUUACUUAAUACUUUUCCAUACAUCUGCUAAUAUCUGCUAAUUCCACAGAAAGUGUACAAAUUUUCAAUUUACCCAAUUUGUGGAUAAAAGCUCUAUGUAACUACUGACCCUGAUUUAGGAAUGUAUCAGCUCUAGAAACGAUGGAAUUGUCUUCAGGGCUCACAUGUCAACAAAAAUCAGCUGGUUCGCAUGUGAAGCUUGGCGAGGAAAACGCUGCAGCGGCACUGGCGCCGUCCCUGCUCCCUGCCUGCCUCUCCCAGACCUGCUGCCUUUAUUCAGCCGAGGUUUCCUUGCCUGUCUGCCACUGCUCCACAGUUAGCCCUUACACACCUGGGUCAGCCAGCCACUCAUCCGUGGGGAGUGGACAAAAAGCCACUUGAAACCCUGCUCACUGAUACAGGAGGGACAGCAGCCUCCCCUGAUUACUUGAUGCAAUGUGAGCAAGUCCAGAGAGAAAGGUAAAGCAAAUCAGUGGUACUGUUUGCAGACAUACUGAUUCUCAUUCCUUUGAACCGAAACUUUCUCUUCCAGACGUGAUUUUAUGGAAAUAUUUAAAGUGUAUCUCCUAAAGAUUUCAAAUAAGACACCAAAUCAAAAGAUUGGCUGCAAAUCUGCAUCUAAUAAGCAACUGAGAAUUGUGUUCAUCUGGGCUGUGCACAGACUGGCACUGCAGCCUCAGGAAAAGGGCAAAUAUGGCCCUUUUUUUUUUCAAAUGUGCUGUGAAAACCCUGCUCGCUGUAGGGACGGGAGUGUUCAAAAGCAACAGUGACAAUCUACAUUACUAGCAGCUCCAUCAGAAGUAUAUGUGCCCAGGUGCCCUGUCUCCACAGAUGUUUUGCUCUCGUUUUGAGCUGAAAAUGUAACUUUUUUGUUGAGAAAGGCUUUCAGAUCUUGUUAAAAAUAGCCUAAUAGUAGCUUUGGAUUUGAGUGACAAGCUAGUUGUUACUAUGCAGUUUUCAUAGUAAUAAUCUAGUACUUUUGACCCAAAGAAACAGUGAUAUCAUUCCUUGAGAGGGAGGACAGAGUGACAAAAUCUGGAAGCCCCGUGACGACACUGAAUCUCUUUGUUGUCAAGGCAAGCUGUGAAAUCAUCUGCUUUCCUGCCAAAUCCCACUGAGGAGUAAGCAGUGUCUUUCACAGAACACACAUUUUGCAGGAAGAGAUGGGGCACAGAAGAAGCACAUUCCUGCCCCAUGGGAGGUGUGCUGCCCCAUACCCUGUGACUUCUGGAAUUGAUGCAAAUGUGUUUUCCCACCUCUGUCAGCAACACCAUCACUAAAGUGAGCAGACGCUUUCUAAGGUUCUUUAUAUACUGUGACUUCAUCAAAAAUUCUGCUGGAGUACUGUCACCAAUGUGUUUCACAGUUAUUUGGGAAUGGGGGAGAAUGAGAUCUCUGAAUCCCUCAGUCAGGCUCCACUGCCAACCAGGUAGUCUGUACUUGUUGGAAUUCUCCAUCCUUGUUUGUGUUUGCUAUUAGUCUUUGGUUGUGAGCUAAGCGGGGGAUGAUAGGAAGUGAGAGGUAAACCUUAAUAAAACUUUUUUUGUCAUUCA
Parus major (Great Tit) is the source of this 9727-nucleotide long non-coding RNA. RefSeq lists it as uncharacterized. The transcript has 7 exons. Lineage: Eukaryota; Metazoa; Chordata; Aves; Passeriformes; Paridae. The record is from RefSeq and is a predicted model, not a curated record.